RNAcentral lists this ribosomal RNA (447 nucleotides) under uncultured bacterium. Its description in RNAcentral is "bacterial SSU rRNA". It matches the Rfam family "Bacterial small subunit ribosomal RNA", at positions 330 to 793 of the family's 1533-position model. The record is from RNAcentral.
UCCAGACUCCUACGGGAGGCAGCAGUGGGGGAUAUUGCACAAUGGGGGGAACCCUGAUGCAGCGACGCCGCGUGGGUGAAGGAGCGUUUCGGCGCGUAAAGCCCUAUCGGCAGGGAAGAAGGAGGACGGUACCUGACUAAGAAGCCCCGGCUAACUACGUGCCAGCAGCCGCGGUAAUACGUAGGGGGCAAGCGUUAUCCGGGUUUACUGGGUGUAAAGGGGGCGCAGACGGCAGCGCAAGCCAGGAGUGAAAGCCCGGGGCCCAACCCCGGGACUGCUCUUGGAACUGCGCGGCUGGAGUGCAGGAGGGGCAGGCGGAAUUCCUGGUGUAGCGGUGAAAUGCGUAGAUGUCAGGAGGAACACCGGUGGCGAAGGCGGCCUGCUGGACUGCGACUGACGUUGAGGCCCGAAAGCGUGGGGAGCAAACAGGAUUAGAUACCCGAGUAA